RNAcentral lists this transfer RNA (76 nucleotides) under Tepiditoga sp. Its description in RNAcentral is "tRNA-Pro". It matches the Rfam family "tRNA". Rfam says of the family: Transfer RNA (tRNA) molecules are approximately 80 nucleotides in length. Their secondary structure includes four short double-helical elements and three loops (D, anti-codon, and T loops). RNAcentral also lists the same sequence under 1 other name. The record is from RNAcentral. Lineage: Bacteria; Thermotogati; Thermotogota; Thermotogae; Petrotogales; Petrotogaceae.
CGGAGUGUAGCACAGUUGGUAGAGCGUUGGUUUCGGGAACCAAAGGACGCUGGUUCGAGUCCAGUCACUCCGACCA